RNAcentral lists this transfer RNA (72 nucleotides) under Tricholoma terreum. Its description in RNAcentral is "tRNA-Met". It matches the Rfam family "tRNA". From Rfam's summary of the family: Transfer RNA (tRNA) molecules are approximately 80 nucleotides in length. Their secondary structure includes four short double-helical elements and three loops (D, anti-codon, and T loops). The record is from RNAcentral. Lineage: Eukaryota; Fungi; Basidiomycota; Agaricomycetes; Agaricales; Tricholomataceae.
AGCGAGAUAGUGUAAUUGGUAGCACAACAGUCUCAUGAUCUGUUAGUUUAGGUUCAAAACCUGAUUUCGCUA